Molecule: ribosomal RNA, 1000 nt
Filed under: Paenibacillus sp.
Lineage: Bacteria; Bacillati; Bacillota; Bacilli; Caryophanales; Paenibacillaceae
Description: bacterial SSU rRNA
Rfam family: Bacterial small subunit ribosomal RNA
Source: RNAcentral
UGCAGUCGCAGCUAUAAUGCAGUCGAGCGGCUUAAGUUUUCUUCGGAUACUUAGGUAGCGGCGGACGGGUGAGUAACACGUAGGCAACCUGCCUGUAAGAUCGGGAUAACCCACGGAAACGUGAGCUAAUACCGAAUAAGUAAUCCUCUCGCAUGAGGGGGUUAAGAAGGACGGAGCAAUCUGUCACUUACAGAUGGGCCUGCGGCGCAUUAGCUAGUAGGUGAGGUAAUGGCUCACCUAGGCGACGAUGCGUAGCCGACCUGAUAGGGUGAACGGCCACACUGGGACUGACACACGGCCCAGACUCCUACGGGAGGCAGCAGUAGGGAAUCUUCCGCAAUGGACGAAAGUCUGACGGAGCAACGCCGCGUGAGUGAUGAAGGUUUUCGGAUCGUAAAGCUCUGUUGCCAGGGAAGAACGCUUAGGAGAGUAACUGCUCUUAAGGUGACGGUACCUGAGAAGAAAGCCCCGGCUAACUACGUGCCAGCAGCCGCGGUAAUACGUAGGGGGCAAGCGUUGUCCGGAAUUAUUGGGCGUAAAGCGCGCGCAGGCGGUCUAUUAAGUCUGGUGUUUAAGCCCAUGGCUCAACCCUGGUUCGCACUGGAAACUGGCAUACUAGAGUGUAGAGAGAGGAAAGUGGAAUUCCACGUGUAGCGGCGAAAUGCGUAGAGAUGUGGAGGAACACCAGUGGCGAACGCGACUUUCUGGCCUAUAACUGACGCUGAUGCGCGAAAGCGUGGGGAGCAAACAUGAUUAGAUACCCUGGUAGUCCACGCCGUAAACGAUGAGUGCUAGUGUUAGGGGUUUCAGUACCCUUGGUUGCCGAACUAAACACAGUAAGCACUCCGCCUGGGGAGUACGGUCGCGAGACUGAAACUCAAAGGAAUUGACGGGGACACUCACAAGCGAUGGAGUAUGUGGUUUGAUUCCGAUGCACACUACGAACCUUACCAGGUCAUUGACAUCUGAGCUGAAAACAUCUCAGAGAUAGUCGUCCUUC